This 287-nucleotide long non-coding RNA is filed under the name Phascolarctos cinereus (koala). RNAcentral describes it as "lncRNA (ENSPCIG00000037255.1)". Lineage: Eukaryota; Metazoa; Chordata; Mammalia; Diprotodontia; Phascolarctidae. The record is from RNAcentral.
UCGAGGACUGUUAAAAGGAGAGUCAGCAGGCUUUUAAUUAAUUUUCUUAUCAUCUAUAGCUGCAUACCAAACAUGAGAGCAUAAAACAGGAAGAUGCACAAGCAGUGAUACAUAGAAAAGGCAAUUGAAUCGGGGGAAAAUUACUCCUAAGCCAAGGCAUUUGUCACGUCUCAGUGUUAAACCAAGACAGAUGGUUCUAGCAGUAUCUUCUUUAAGCUUUAUGAUCAAGUCAGCUCAGCAUACAGCUCAACUAUGGAAACAACAACAGCAGCAAAAAAGAGUUUAAA